AGGAUUAUUGAGGACUAUGGAGCAGCAAGGAGAAAGAAAGAGAAAGAGAAGAAACUUUUUGGAAAAGAAAUGGUUAUAUACGUGACUUUUUAUGAGGUAGAAUAGAUUCUUGCUGCUAUUGCAUGGUCAUAAUGAUCUUCAGAAUUUUCUAUUGUGGAUGGAUGUUUUAAAAUGUUUGAACUAAUGCAUUUCGUCUGUUGUGCUAUUUAUGUAGUAUAUUAUAUAAUUACAUGAGCUAAAAUAAGUAAUCAACGAAAAACAUCAUUUUUCAUAGGGUGCAAACACUUAUAUGCAUGCAUAAGAACAAAGAGAAGAAUGGAACAUGAAGUUGGUUGUAAAUUUCUUGCCCAUCAUUUUUCUCAAUUAAGCAGCUUUUUUAUUAUAUUAUUGACUGUUUCAAGUUUCUACAAUUUAGCUCAGGUUCAUGUUAUUCUUGAAGUCUCUAAACCAUUUAGUGGCUAGCAAAUUGAUGCAAAUUGAUUUAUUAUCAGGAUAUUUUGUGCUUAUUGUGUGUAAUUGCUUUUUGUAUUUCCUUGUUUUAUGCCUUCUAACUUAAGUUAUUUAAGGAGCCUUUGGUCAGGCAUGAUCUUGGCAAAAUAGAUUCAUGAGAUUCUUAAGUCACAAACAUUGUUAGACUCCUUGGUUUACAGCCUGCAUUUUUGUGUUUAUGACCCUUGCAGGGCCUUGAUCACAUAUAUCACUCGUUCAUGUCUGCCAAUUUGGUUCUAUUAGGACACAAUGCCCAUGACUUGAGGCCUGGGCUAAGUGGUAUGGCGUGGAAUGAGGCAGGGUUAUGAUAUGUCAAAUUAUUUUUGUGAUGAUUUGCACUCUAUAUCUUUUACAUUUAUAAAUCAGUUUCUCUCCUAGUGUCUGCACCUUUCUGAUUACUUGUAAUGUAUACUAAUGUUUUAAGUUUCCUUUAUUUGAUAUAAGUUUCUUUCAUGUAGUAUUUAGGUAGGUUACUAGUAUGUCAUACCCACUCAUUAACCACCCAAUUUUCCAAAGGCUGAGAGUGUUUAUUUUUUAAGAAGCUUCAAUUUGUCUACAACCUCUUUUAAUAUGAUUUUUUCCAUGAUUUCUAUAUCGAUGACAAGAUCAUAUAUUAUUUUGCUCCACAAACAACACAUGCAUCGAAAAACUAUCCCUCCCCCAAUCCUCCUCUUCAUUAUUGAUUUUCGUUGUCAUUGCUCUGCACACAACUAACGACUGACCUUGUGCUUGAUGAACAUCAAUUUCCUCUAGUCCUUCAUCAUAGUCAUUAUAUAUUACUUCUAACUCGUUCUAGAAUUUUGCUAAGUUCACCCUCCAUUAUGGGCAAGCAAAAGAAGGGUUCCCUUCUCAACAAAAGUAAAACAUCGACCUGGAGAUUGCUGCGUCCUUUAGAUGUCAAAGUACUAAAAUUAUUUCAUCCAUUGGAAGGCACCGUACUCUCGCGUUUAUCACUUUUCUUAAUAUUGGUUGCAAACCCACCAAUUUUUUGUUGGUUGUGAUGGCCCCUUGAUUAUUUCGUGGGGUUGUAAAAAACCAUAUCCGAUCCUAGUAUUGCUUUGCUAAUUGAUGCCGUAAUGCAAAACUCGCUUUUCAGAAACUAAGGCAUAUUAACGAGCAUCUUCAAUAUUGUACAAACAAACUACUCCCUUUUCAUCUGUAAUAGAAUGAUUCAAACCAGCAAGAUAUCGGGAAUAUGAAAGCUAAUUGACUAUAAAUUCCUUCAUCUACGUCACUUAGGAUUAUUGAGGACUAUGGAGCAGCAAGGAGAAAGAAAGAGAAAGAGAAGAAACUU
RNAcentral lists this long non-coding RNA (1783 nucleotides) under Ricinus communis (castor bean). RNAcentral's name for it is "long non-coding RNA (RCOM_LNC003425)". The record is from RNAcentral. Lineage: Eukaryota; Viridiplantae; Streptophyta; Magnoliopsida; Malpighiales; Euphorbiaceae.